GCUAAAUCUUACUUUAAGAUGAGACGCUUGCUGGGAUUCCAGCUAUGCUCUCUGGUUCCCCGGAAUCACUUUUCAUGGGAGACCAGAAUAAACCCCACCAGCUUCCACAGGAGCCAAUUGUUCUGAGGAGUAUCAAUCUGUAUUCUGGUCUGAAGGAAGCCUGGGCCUAUUUCUUUAGAGGGAAGUGUGAGAGCCUUACUUGAACGCCCGCUGCAUGGCCUUCUCUGCAAGGCCGUGGACAGAUGCUGGGGCGGGAGUUGGUUUGGGAGGCCCCCUGGCCAGGAUGGCAGGCAUGCUGUGCUCCAGCCCCCUCUGCAGAUUCCACCCUGGGAGGGUCUCCAAGUGGCAACAGCACCGAGAUUCCGGGACCACACCUGGCAGCACAGACGUCCAGGAUCAGGACUUUGCUGGACAAAGGCUUCUUGCUGUCUGGGCGUGGCCUCUCAUCACAUAGUUAUCUUCGAGUUGCUCCUGCCUAUAUAUCCAUCAGCUUGAUCAGGGCAGAGAAUGGGAUUAGAAGCAGAGGAAAUAAUUGUGGGCAUUCUGGGGAGUUGGGGGCAGUUUCUGUGGAAGUAUACCACUUUCCCCCUCCUUCUCUGGAUGGAGCUGUCGAAGUUUGGGCCAGAGCAAUGGGAUAG
This 638-nucleotide long non-coding RNA is filed under the name Capra hircus (goat). RNAcentral describes it as "lncRNA (ENSCHIG00010013486.1)". Lineage: Eukaryota; Metazoa; Chordata; Mammalia; Artiodactyla; Bovidae. The record is from RNAcentral.